Molecule: ribosomal RNA, 470 nt
Filed under: Streptococcus anginosus
Lineage: Bacteria; Bacillati; Bacillota; Bacilli; Lactobacillales; Streptococcaceae
Description: bacterial SSU rRNA
Rfam family: Bacterial small subunit ribosomal RNA
Source: RNAcentral
GACGAACGCUGGCGGCGUGCCUAAUACAUGCAAGUAGGACGCACAGUUUAUACCGUAGCUUGCUACACCAUAGACUGUGAGUUGCGAACGGGUGAGUAACGCGUAGGUAACCUACCUAUUAGAGGGGGAUAACUAUUGGAAACGAUAGCUAAUACCGCAUAACAGUAUGUAACACAUGUUAGAUGCUUGAAAGAUGCAAUUGCAUCGCUAGUAGAUGGACCUGCGUUGUAUUAGCUAGUAGGUAGGGUAAAGGCCUACCUAGGCAACGAUACAUAGCCGACCUGAGAGGGUGAUCGGCCACACUGGGACUGAGACACGGCCCAGACUCCUACGGGAGGCAGCAGUAGGGAAUCUUCGGCAAUGGGGGGAACCCUGACCGAGCAACGCCGCGUGAGUGAAGAAGGUUUUCGGAUCGUAAAGCUCUGUUGUUAAGGAAGAACGAGUGUGAGAAUGGAAAGUUCAUGCUGUGA